This is a long non-coding RNA of Mercurialis annua (annual mercury), 582 nucleotides long. RefSeq lists it as uncharacterized. The record is from RefSeq and is a predicted model, not a curated record. The transcript has 2 exons. Lineage: Eukaryota; Viridiplantae; Streptophyta; Magnoliopsida; Malpighiales; Euphorbiaceae.
GAGAUUGUGAUAAGGAUGUCUAAUUGUCGAUACUUAAUUUAUCUAACUAAUGCCAAAAUUUAAAAUGUCUAUAAAUAGAAGUAUAUAAUUUAGAGAAGGGUCAUCCAUUGAAUAUCUUCAGAAAAGAUGAUGAGAAAAGAAGCUUUGUUUAUUUGUUUGACAUGGGUUUUAGUGUUCAUAUCCAUUGCCAUAUCUGCAAAUGCAACAGCAGCCCCUCGUCUGCAUAGAUUUGAGCAUUUGGUUCAGCCCCAAGCAGGUUGUCACUGUUGCUUCACAGGAAGGCCUCCGAACCUCAAAUGCGUAACAGUGUGCUGCGAGGUUAAUUGUUGCUUGAAAAACUGAAGAAUCAAUGGAGUUUUCAUGUUUAGGUUUUCACUAAAUAAACUGUGGCUUGCGUUUAAUUAGUAAAUUGAAUACGUGAUUAUAAGGUUCUACUUGUAUGAAGUUUCCAUAUCUCUUGUGCUUCAGCUUUUGGAUUGUUAUUAAAAAUAAUGAGAUCAGCAUUAUAUCAACACUAAAUGUAAUUCAAGUUUGGAAACAAAGUGUUGAAUUGAAACAAAGUAAUUUUCAUUGCAGUACUAA